UACGUAGGGGGCUAGCGUUAUCCGGAAUUACUGGGCGUAAAGGGUGCGUAGGUGGUUUCUUAAGUCAGAGGUGAAAGGCUACGGCUCAACCGUAGUAAGCCUUUGAAACUGGGAAACUUGAGUGCAGGAGAGGAGAGUGGAAUUCCUAGUGUAGCGGUGAAAUGCGUAGAUAUUAGGAGGAACACCAGUUGCGAAGGCGGCUCUCUGGACUGUAACUGACGCUGAGGCACGAAAGCGUGGGGAGCAAACAGGAUUAGAUACCCCCGUAGUCCCUGAGCGGG
Molecule: ribosomal RNA, 281 nt
Filed under: uncultured prokaryote
Description: partial 16S ribosomal RNA
Rfam family: Bacterial small subunit ribosomal RNA
Source: RNAcentral